This 465-nucleotide ribosomal RNA is filed under the name uncultured bacterium. RNAcentral's name for it is "partial 16S ribosomal RNA". It matches the Rfam family "Bacterial small subunit ribosomal RNA", at positions 39 to 523 of the family's 1533-position model. The record is from RNAcentral.
GCGGCGUGCUUCAUACAUGCAAGUCGAACGAGAAGCAGGAGCUUGCUCCUGUGGAAAGUGGCGGACGGGUGAGUAACACGUAGGAAAUCUGCCUUUGGGUGGGGGACAACAGUUGGAAACGACUGCUAAUACCCCAUAUGAGCUUGGUUGCAAUACCAAUCUUGAAAACUCCGGUGCCUAAAGAUGAGCCUGCGUCUGAUUAGCUUGUUGGCGGGGUAAUGGCCCACCAAGGCGACGAUCAGUAGCUGGUUUGAGAGGAUGAUCAGCCACAAUGGGACUGAGACACGGCCCAUACUCCUACGGGAGGCAGCAGUAGGGAAUUUUGCGCAAUGGGGGAAACCCUGACGCAGCAACGCCGCGUGAAUGACGAAGCCCUUCGGGGUGUAAAGUCCUGUCAGUAGGGAAGAAUUUUGACUGUACCUACAAAGGAAGCACCGGCUAACUCCGUGCCAGCAGCCGCGGUAA